AUUGUUGGUUAUUUUUCACUUGUACUUAAUUGGUGUUGUAGAUCUCUACUCUUUCUGUAUAUUUGUAUUUUCAUUUUUGAAACUUUAAUGCAGUACAAAUGUAGUGAUUGUAAACCAAGGCUUUCUGAAGCAUUUUUAGGCUUUCAUCAAACUGAGCCACUCCUUGAUCCCAGUUUCACCGUCUUCAUUAACACAACACAGCUGAACCAAAUGAACUGGUCUCCGUUCUCUCCCAGUUCGUUGCUAUGGUUACUGUCGUUGGGUUAAUUUACCCCAGCUGUGUCUCGUUUCCUUGAUCUGUUCUCUGUGUAUUUAAGCCCUCUGUUUCUCCCUGGUCGUUGACUUGCAUUACUUUAAGUUGUAGUUGAUGUGUGUGGUUCUCCUCGUGGAUUCUGCUGGUCACUGGUCUAUUAAAGUCUCCUGAAGUUUUCUCCAUCGUCGGGCGCUUUAAUGCAUCCACCAUUUUGAGCUGUUUAGGGAUAUAAAGGCACCUGAGUGAGUCAGAUUUCAGAUACAGAGGGUCACCACAUGUAGUGAGCGGUGAAGUUCAGGUUGGGGUGGGCCAAUCUGACUGCAUCCACCCCUGAGACCCGUACCACCCUUGGCGAGUCGGACAGAGCAAGGAGGACAGACGACAA
This is a non-coding RNA of Pimephales promelas (fathead minnow), 638 nucleotides long. The record is from RefSeq and is a predicted model, not a curated record. NCBI's taxonomy places the organism in Eukaryota, Metazoa, Chordata, Actinopteri, Cypriniformes, Leuciscidae.